GGUGGAGAUCGAGUUAAAGAAACAGGAAGCCUGGCAUAGGCCGUGAAGGAGGUUAGGUAGGCAUAGGAUUAAGGGUUUAGAGAAUGCUUGUUUCCUUCUGUUGCCCAUAUGAGAGCUGAUAAGGGGAUUUCAGGUUUUUGCGGGGGCACCUUGGAAAAGAAUUAGGGAGUUUAAUCAGCUAGAGGGACCUUCCCACCUUCAUUUCUCAGUGUUUGUUAUAUGGCAUGUUUGCCUGAGUUAAAGGUGCCAAAAAAUAAAAAUGAAAGCCCCAUAGCGUUAAACGUUGACACGCUAUCAUCUGUCUGCUAGGAGUCUUUGACUUUUGUUUUUCUCUUCAACCCAGGGCAUGAGAUGCGCUGUGAUUGCUCAGAUACUCUUACAUUACUGUGUCCAAGUCACAUGCAUUUAACUGGACAUGUAUUUAUACGUAAAUAUAUAGAUUUUUUUUUGUCUUUUUAGGGCUGUGCCUGCGGCAUAUGGAGGGGUCGAAUUGGAGCCGUAGCCGCCGGCCUACACCACAGCCACAGCCACGCAGGAUCCGACCCACAUCUGCGACCUACACCCCAGCUCACAGCAACACUGGAUCCUCAAUCCACUGAGUGAGGCCAGGGAUGGAACCUGAAUCCUCAUGGUUCCCGGUCGGAUGCGUUUCUGCUGCACCACGGCGGGAACUCCAAAUAAACAUAUAGAUUAUUAAAGUUAGGUGAGGUCAAAAUUUCUAUAUCAAAGGGAGCAGCAUGUAGUGAAGUUUUCAUAUGUAAAAACACGUUGAAUAGCUCAGCCACAGAUUUCUCUGAUUAACUGCUUUCCAGAAGAUGAGGCAAGGCCAGAUUCUUGCAGUUCUUCUGUUGAGAGCUUUUUCAAAAAUGUCUUAAUUUUUUAUUUUAUUUUUUCUUUUUAAAUUUUUUGGCUGCCCCGCAGCAUAUGGGGUUCCUGGGCCAGGGAUCAGAUCUGAGCCCCAGUCACCACCUAAGCUGCACCUGUGGCAACGCUGGAGCCUUACCCACUGUGCUGGGCUGGGAUCAAACCUGUGUCCCUGUGUUCCGGAGACACCACCAAUUCCUUUGCACCACAGUGGGAACUCCCUGCUGAAAACUAAAAAAUUAAAGAAGGGAGUUCCCAUUAGUGCACAGAGGACGCGAAUCUGACUAGUAAACCAUGAGGUUUCGGGUUUGAUUCCCGGUCUUGCUCAGUGGGUUAAGGAUCGGGUGUUGCCGUGAGCUGUGGUGUAGGUCACAGAUGUGGCUGGGAUCUGGCCUUGCUGUAGCUGUGGCGUAGGCUGGUGGCUAUAGCUCCAAUUGGACCCCUAGUCUGGGAACCUCCAUAUGCUGCAGGUGUGGCCCUAAAAGACAAAAGAGAAAAAAGAAAAAAGAAAAAAAGAAAGUAAGAGAAGCUUCCCUUACCACUUCCAGUGAGCACUCGAGCCAUUCCUUCAUCUCUCUGGCCUCAGAUUCCUUGUUACGUUGAAGGAGGUACUUUCCCUUGUAAAAAUAUUAUAUUAAAGUAUAGUUGAUUUACAAUGCUGUUUUCAUUUCUACUAUACAGCAAAGUGACUCAGUUAUACAUAUAUUUUUUUCAUAUUCUUUUCCGUUAUGGUUUAUCACAGGACAUUGAAUGCAGUUCACUGGGCUCUCCAGGAGGAUCUUGCUGUUUAUCUGCUAAUCCCUAACUCCCAAAUCCUGCCUCCCCCUUCCCCUUGGCGACCACAAGUCUGUGCUCUGUGUCUGUGUAUCUUGUUUUUGUUUUGUAGACAUGUUGACUUCUUGUCUUUUUGACUUCACAUGUAAGUGAUAUCAUAUGGUAUUUGUCUUUCUCUUUCUGACUUACUUCACUUAGUAUGAUAAUUUCUAAGUCCAUUCAUGUUGCUUCAAAUGGCAUUAUUUCAUUCUUUUUUAUGGCUGAGUAAUAUUCCAUUGUACACACGUACCCCAUCUUCUUUAUCCAUUCCUCUGUGGGUGGACAUUGGAUUAUUUCCAUGUCUUAGCUGUUGUGAAUAGUGCUGCAGUGAACAUAGGGGAGCAUGUAUCUUUUUGAAUUAUAGUUUUGUCUGGGUAUCUGCCCAGGAGUUGGAUUGCUGCAUCAUGUGGCAACUCUAUUUUUAGAGGAAUCUCCAUCCUGUUUUCCAUAGUGGCUUUACUAAUUUACAUUCCCACCAGCAGUGUAAGAGAGUUCCCUUUUCUUUUCUUUUUUCUCUUCUUUUAGCCACACCCAUGGCAUGUAGAAGUUCCUGGGCCAGGGAUCGAACCCAUGCCUCAGUUGGGACCUGUGCCACAGCUACAGCAACACUGGAUCCUUAAUCUGCUGUGCCACAAGGGAACUUCCAGGAGUUCCCUUUUCUCCACACUCUUUCUAGCAUUUAUCAUUUUUGGACUUUUUACCUCAUUGUGAUUUUGUUUGCAUUUCUCUAAUAAUUCACGAUGAUGAGCAUUGUGAAUUAUUAGAGAAUUUCAUGUGCUAUUGACUAUCUGUACGUCUUCGUGGAGAACUGUCUAUAUGUCUGUUUCGGUCUACUGCCCAUUUUUCAAUUGGGCUAUUUGGGUUUUUUUGGUUGUUGUUAUCAAAUUGUGACCAACAUCCAUCAAUGACGUACUUGCUUUCUCAAGGUGUUCAGGAAAGGCCAAUGUUGAAGUUCAAGACCUUCUGAACUGGAGCCCUGGAUGGAAUCCAUCCCACUCAUAUUCUAUUAUUUAGCAGGACUCUCAAGGGAUACAACCUUUGCUUUCUUCCAAAUCUUAUUUAUUUAUUUGUUUGUUUAUUAUUAUUAUUAUUAUUAUUUGUCUUUUAUCUUCUUAGGGCCACAUCUGCGUGGCACAUGGAGGUUCCCAGGCUAGAGGAUUAUAGAUCUGUUGCUGCUGGCCUAUGCCAGAACCACAGCAAUACCAGAUCCAAGCCACGGUCUGUGACCUACACCACAGCUCAUGGCCACGCCGGAUCCUUAACCCACUGAGCAAGGCCAGGGAUUGAACCCUAAACCUCAUGGUUCCUAGUGGGAUUCAUUUCCACUGUGCCAAGACGGGAAGUCCCAGAUCUUUCUUUAAGUCCGUUGCUUGAGGUGAGCAUGUGGGCUCACCAGAUCCUCACUUUUCAUUGCAACGCCAAGACUGCAAUGUGAUCAGAGAAAUGAGCUAAAUGAUGUCUUUUAAAAAUUACUGGUCCCGGAGUUCCUGUUGUGGUGUAGUGGAGAUGAAUCCAACUAGUGUCCAUGAGGAUGUGGGUUCGAUCCCUGGCCUUGAUCAGUGGGUCAGGGAGCCAGCGUUGAUGUGAGUGCAGUGUAGUUUGCAGACGUAGCUCCAGUCCUGUGUUGCUGUUGCUGUGGCUGUGGCUGUGACAUAGGCUGGCAGCUGUAGCUCCAAUUUGACCCCUAGCCUGGGAACUUCCCUAUGCCACAGGUGUGGCCCUAAAAAGACAAAAAAAAAAAAAAAA
Molecule: long non-coding RNA, 3423 nt
Filed under: Sus scrofa (pig)
Lineage: Eukaryota; Metazoa; Chordata; Mammalia; Artiodactyla; Suidae
Description: lncRNA (ENSSSCG00030003997.1)
Source: RNAcentral